This is a long non-coding RNA of Oncorhynchus masou masou (cherry salmon), 568 nucleotides long. RefSeq lists it as uncharacterized. NCBI's taxonomy places the organism in Eukaryota, Metazoa, Chordata, Actinopteri, Salmoniformes, Salmonidae. The record is from RefSeq and is a predicted model, not a curated record. The transcript has 4 exons.
CGUCAACAACUCUUGGUAAAAUGUGACGCGAACAAACUCGUGUCUUAUCAACUUAGCUAUCAAACUUAUUCAAACGGAUAGAUUGGUAGAUAUAUGAAAUGUUUAGGUUGAACGCAGUCCGCCACAAGGCUGGUCGUCAGGGCAGCGGUUCAGAGUUCAAUUCAAGAGGCGAGCACAUGAAAAAGUUGAUCUGGCCCCUGCUGCCCUGGGUGGGGAACCUGCUGCUAUCUGGGCCCCUAGGGGUCCUGCAGACCAGACUAAACGAUAGCCGUCUCCUGGAUGCUCUGUGUGCGUUUGCUCAGGUCUUCCUCCAGACCCACCCAGACCUGGGUCCUCAACACACACAGGCUAAUUGUGCAUAGCCAGGAAGUGUCCGGUGAACAAGAAAAUCUACGAGGCCAGCCCUUGACCAUCCCAGUGGUCAGAUAGCCAGAGAGGCUGGCUGGUACAAUGUGUGCGUGGAGUAGUGAGACCGACUGUCGGACUGUUAAAACGUGCUCCAUACCUGUCCUAUACCUGCAUGGCACCUGAUAAGGUAUGGGAACGUCCCUUAGUCGACACUCACCUG